GGAGGAGAGCCCAGUGUGCAUGUCAGCAGUGAGGGAGGUCUCCUAACUCACACUGCUGGAGAGAACAAGGAACACUUCUUUAAAGAUGUUUGCCUCAGCUGAGUCCUAAAAGAUGAAAGAGUUAACCAGGAUGGUGAAUUUUCUCAACUUCCUUUAAGCUUAGUAAACAGUCAUCUACCUCCUGCUGUUCUUCAUCUUUGCAGCUACUUCUCAGGGAAAAAAGGGUUUCAGUGAGAUGUAGAAAAUCUAUCAGCCACGUUUAUGAACAAUGACCUGGCAAAUGGAAGAUGCAACCAGGAUACUUCAGGCAACUAUUUUCUAACCUCCCCAUAAAAUUAAUUUAAUUUAAAAAUUGAUUCUUCAGUUAAAAAUAACAAACUACUUUCCUCUUAAACGAGGUAAAGGAGACAACUUCAACCUCUCAAUUGUCUUAUAUUGUUCACAAGUAAGUACUCAGAUGUUCUCUAA
Phyllostomus hastatus (greater spear-nosed bat) is the source of this 468-nucleotide long non-coding RNA. RefSeq lists it as uncharacterized. The transcript is spliced from 3 exons. NCBI's taxonomy places the organism in Eukaryota, Metazoa, Chordata, Mammalia, Chiroptera, Phyllostomidae. The record is from RefSeq and is a predicted model, not a curated record.